RNAcentral lists this unclassified non-coding RNA (275 nucleotides) under air metagenome. RNAcentral describes it as "partial contains small subunit ribosomal RNA, internal transcribed spacer 1, and 5.8S ribosomal RNA". The stretch from base 1 to 46 matches the Rfam family "Eukaryotic small subunit ribosomal RNA", at positions 1786 to 1831 of the family's 1831-position model. The record is from RNAcentral.
AAGUCGUAACAAGGUUUCCGUAGGUGAACCUGCGGAAGGAUCAUUAUUGAAUUCCAACUGGGUGAGAUUGCUGCUGGCUUUCGGGCAUGUGCACGUCUCAUUCAUUUACCUCUCACCUCUGUGCACUUUUCACAGGACAGCUAGUGGCUGUGGACUUCAUUGGCCAUGGCUGCAGGUUGCCUUGUGUACUUUACAAACUCAAAAAUAAGUUUAGAAUGUCUAUUGUGUAUCCACACAUUUAAAUACAACUUUCAGCAACGGAUCUCUUGGCUCUC